GACGAACGCUGGCGGCGUGCCUAAUACAUGCAAGUCGAGCGAAGCGGCGGAUGGGUGAGUAACGCGUGGGCAACCCGUCCUUAAGUCAGGGAAAUCAGUUGGAAACAGAUGCUAAUAACGGAUAUGAAAGGAUGGACGUGCGAUGCAUUAGCUAGUUGGUAAGGUAACGGCUUACCAAGGCGAGGAUGCAUAGCCGACUUGAGAGAGUGAUCGGCCACAUUGGGACUGAGACACGGCCCAGACUCCUACGGGAGGCAGCAGUAGGGAAUCUUCCGUAAUGGACGAAAGUCUGACGGAGCAACGCCGCGUGAGUGAAGAAGGUUUUCGGAUCGUAAAGCUCUGUUGUUAGUGAAGCGGUAAUCAACCAGAAAGUCACGGCUAACUACGUGCCAGCAGCCGCGGUAAUAC
RNAcentral lists this ribosomal RNA (408 nucleotides) under uncultured bacterium. RNAcentral describes it as "partial 16S ribosomal RNA". It matches the Rfam family "Bacterial small subunit ribosomal RNA", at positions 28 to 526 of the family's 1533-position model. The record is from RNAcentral.